RNAcentral lists this ribosomal RNA (119 nucleotides) under Triticum aestivum (bread wheat). The record is from RNAcentral. Lineage: Eukaryota; Viridiplantae; Streptophyta; Magnoliopsida; Poales; Poaceae.
GGAUGCGAUCAUAGCAGCACUAAAGCAACGGAUCCCAUCAGAACUACGAAGUUAACCGUGCUUGGGCGAGAGUAGUACUAGGAUGGGUGACCUCCUGGGAAGUCCUCGUGUUGCAUUCC